This 418-nucleotide ribosomal RNA is filed under the name uncultured bacterium. Its description in RNAcentral is "bacterial SSU rRNA". It matches the Rfam family "Bacterial small subunit ribosomal RNA", at positions 362 to 777 of the family's 1533-position model. The record is from RNAcentral.
UAUUGGUCAAUGGGCGAGAGCCUGAACCAGCCAAGUAGCGUGAAGGAUGACUGCCCUAUGGGUUGUAAACUUCUUUUAUAAAGGCAUAGAGUCGGGUAUGCAUACCCUUUUGCAUGUACUUUAUGAAUAAGGAUCGGCUAACUGCUUUCCAGCAGCCGCGGUAAUACGGAGGAACCGAGCGUUAUCCGGAUUUAUUGGGUUUAAAGGGAGCGUAGAUGGAUGUUUAAGUCAGUUGUGAAAGGUUGCGGCUCAACCGGAAAAUUGCAGUUGAUACUGGAUAUCUUGAGUGCAGUUGAGGCAGGCGGAAUUCGUGGUGUAGCGGUGAAAUGCUUAGAUAUCACGAAGAACUCCGAUCGCGAAGGCAGCCUGCUAAGCUGCAACUGACAUUGAGGCUCGAAAGUGUGGGUAUCAAACAGGA